GACGAACGCUGGCGGCGUGCCUAAUACAUGCAAGUAGAACGCUGAAGGAGGAGCUUGCUUCUCUGGAUGAGUUGCGAACGGGAGAGUAACGCGUAGGUAACCUGCCUGGUAGCGGGGGAUAACUAUUGGAAACGAUAGCUAAUACCGCAUAAGAGUAGAUGUUGCAUGACAUUUGCUUAAAAGGUGCAAUUGCAUCACUACCAGAUGGACCUGCGUUGUAUUAGCUAGUUGGUGGGGUAACGGCUCACCAAGGCGACGAUACAUAGCCGACCUGAGAGGGGGAUCGGCCACACUGGGACUGAGACACGGCCCAGACUCCUACGGGAGGCAGCAGUAGGGAAUCUUCGGCAAUGGACGGAAGUCUGACCGAGCAACGCCGCGUGAGUGAAGAAGGUUUUCGGAUCGUAAAGCUCGGUUGUAAGAGAAGAACGAGUGUGAGAGUGGAAAGUUCACACUGUGACGGUAUCUUACCAGAAAGGGACGGCUAACUACGUG
Molecule: ribosomal RNA, 495 nt
Filed under: uncultured bacterium
Lineage: Bacteria
Description: partial 16S ribosomal RNA
Rfam family: Bacterial small subunit ribosomal RNA
Source: RNAcentral